Molecule: ribosomal RNA, 466 nt
Filed under: Staphylococcus aureus
Lineage: Bacteria; Bacillati; Bacillota; Bacilli; Caryophanales; Staphylococcaceae
Description: bacterial SSU rRNA
Rfam family: Bacterial small subunit ribosomal RNA
Source: RNAcentral
CGUCAGCUCGUGUCGUGAGAUGUCGGGUUAAGUCCCGCAACGAGCGCAACCCUUAAGCUUAGUUGCCAUCAUUAAGUUGGGCACUCUAAGUUGACUGCCGGUGACAAACCGGAGGAAGGUGGGGAUGACGUCAAAUCAUCAUGCCCCUUAUGAUUUGGGCUACACACGUGCUACAAUGGACAAUACAAAGGGCAGCGAAACCGCGAGGUCAAGCAAAUCCCAUAAAGUUGUUCUCAGUUCGGAUUGUAGUCUGCAACUCGACUACAUGAAGCUGGAAUCGCUAGUAAUCGUAGAUCAGCAUGCUACGGUGAAUACGUUCCCGGGUCUUGUACACACCGCCCGUCACACCACGAGAGUUUGUAACACCCGAAGCCGGUGGAGUAACCUUUUAGGAGCUAGCCGUCGAAGGUGGGACAAAUGAUUGGGGUGAAGUCGUAACAAGGUAGCCGUAUCGGAAGGUGCGGCU